This 492-nucleotide ribosomal RNA is filed under the name uncultured bacterium. RNAcentral describes it as "partial 16S ribosomal RNA". It matches the Rfam family "Bacterial small subunit ribosomal RNA", at positions 29 to 507 of the family's 1533-position model. The record is from RNAcentral.
AGUGAACGCUGGCGGUAGGCCUAACACAUGCCAGUCGAACGGCAGCACAGUAAGAGCUUGCUCUUACGGGUGGCGAGUGGCGGACGGGUGAGGAAUACAUCGGAAUCUACUUUUUCGUGGGGGAUAACGUAGGGAAACUUACGCUAAUACCGCAUACGACCUACGGGUGAAAGCAGGGGAUUUUCGGACCUUGCGCGAUUGAAUGAGCCGAUGUCGGAUUAGCUAGUUGGCGGGGUAAAGGCCCACCAAGGCGACGAUCCGUAGCUGGUCUGAGAGGAUGAUCAGCCACACUGGAACUGAGACACGGUCCAGACUCCUACGGGAGGCAGCAGUGGGGAAUAUUGGACAAUGGGCGCAAGCCUGAUCCAGCCAUACCGCGUGGGUGAAGAAGGCCUUCGGGUUGUAAAGCCCUUUUGUUGGGAAAGAAAAGCAGCAGGUUAAUACCCCGCUGUUCUGACGGUACCCAAAGAAUAAGCACCGGCUAACUUCGUG